RNAcentral lists this ribosomal RNA (253 nucleotides) under uncultured bacterium. RNAcentral's name for it is "partial 16S ribosomal RNA". It matches the Rfam family "Bacterial small subunit ribosomal RNA", at positions 524 to 776 of the family's 1533-position model. The record is from RNAcentral.
UACGUAGGGUGCGAGCGUUGUCCGGAAUUACUGGGCGUAAAGAGCUCGUAGGUGGUUUGUCGCGUUGUCCGUGAAAACUCACAACUCAAUUGUGGGCGUGCGGGCGAUACGGGCAGACUGGAGUACUGCAGGGGAGACUGGAAUUCCUGGUGUAGCGGUGGAAUGCGCAGAUAUCAGGAGGAACACCGGUGGCGAAGGCGGCUCGCUGGACCGGUUCUGACGCUGAGGCGCGAAAGCGUGGGGAGCAAACGGG